This 150-nucleotide small nuclear RNA is filed under the name Meriones unguiculatus (Mongolian gerbil). Its description in RNAcentral is "U1 spliceosomal RNA (ENSMUGG00000020741.1)". It matches the Rfam family "U1 spliceosomal RNA". From Rfam's summary of the family: U1 is a small nuclear RNA (snRNA) component of the spliceosome (involved in pre-mRNA splicing). Its 5' end forms complementary base pairs with the 5' splice junction, thus defining the 5' donor site of an intron. There are significant differences in sequence and secondary structure between metazoan and yeast U1 snRNAs, the latter being much longer (568 nucleotides as compared to 164 nucleotides in human). The record is from RNAcentral. Lineage: Eukaryota; Metazoa; Chordata; Mammalia; Rodentia; Muridae.
CUACUCACCUGGCAGGGGAGACACCGUGACCACGAGGGUAGUUUUCUCGGGGCGAGGCUUAUCCAUUGUACUCCGGAUAUGCAAUUUCCCCAAAACACGUGUGAAACUUGACUGCGUAAUUGGUGGUAGGGCCAGGGAUGUCGCUCAGUG